Molecule: transfer RNA, 69 nt
Filed under: Sphaerodactylus townsendi
Lineage: Eukaryota; Metazoa; Chordata; Lepidosauria; Squamata; Sphaerodactylidae
Description: tRNA-Ala
Rfam family: tRNA
About the family: Transfer RNA (tRNA) molecules are approximately 80 nucleotides in length. Their secondary structure includes four short double-helical elements and three loops (D, anti-codon, and T loops).
Source: RNAcentral
GCCGUGGCUCAGCGGUAGAGCAUCUGCUUGGCAUGUAGAAGAUCACAGGUUCAAUUCCUGGCAUCUCCA